AGCAGCCGCGGUAAUUCCAGCUCCAAUAGCGUAUAUUUAAGUUGUUGCAGUUAAAAAGCUCGUAGUUGAAUUUCGGGAUCGAUACGUCGGUCGUGCCUUAGGUACGUACUGUCGUCAUCGAUUUCUCCCUUCUGAUGAACCAUGAUGUCAUUUAUUUGGUGUUGUGGGGAAUCAGGACUGUUACUUUGAAAAAAUUAGAGUGUUUAAAGCAGGCUCACGCUUGAAUACAUUAGCAUGGAAUAAUGAAAUAGGACGUUUGAUUCUAUUUUGUUGGUUUCUAGGAUCGACGUAAUGAUUAAUAGGGAUAGUUGGGGGGCAUUGGUAUUCAAUUGUCAGAGGUGAAAUUCUUGGAUUUAUUGAAGACUAACUACUGCGAAAGCAUUUGCCAAGGAUGUUUUCAUUAAUCAAGAACGAAAGUUAGGGGAUCGAAGACGACCAGAUACCGUCGUAGUCUUAACCAUAAACUAUGCCGACUAGGGAUCGGAUGAUGUUAAUUUUUUAAUGACUCGUUUGGCACCUUACGGGAAACCAAAGUGUUU
RNAcentral lists this ribosomal RNA (539 nucleotides) under uncultured Glomeromycotina. Its description in RNAcentral is "SSU rRNA". It matches the Rfam family "Eukaryotic small subunit ribosomal RNA", at positions 569 to 1108 of the family's 1831-position model. Lineage: Eukaryota; Fungi; Glomeromycota. The record is from RNAcentral.